AGGGAAUCUUCCACAAUGGACGCAAGUCUGAUGGAGCAACGCCGCGUGAGUGAAGAAGGCUUUCGGGUCGUAAAACUCUGUUAUUGAAGAAGAACGUGCGUGACAGUAACUGGUCAUGCAGUGACGGUAUUCAAUCAGAAAGUCACGGCUAACUACGUGCCAGCAGCCGCGGUAAUACGUAGGUGGCAAGCGUUGUCCGGAUUUAUUGGGCGUAAAGCGAGUGCAGGCGGUCUUUUAAGUCUGAUGUGAAAGCCUUCGGCUUAACCGAAGAAGGGCAUCGGAAACUGGGAGACUUGAGUGCAGAAGAGGAGAGUGGAACUCCAUGUGUAGCGGUGAAAUGCGUAGAUAUAUGGAAGAACACCAG
Molecule: ribosomal RNA, 364 nt
Filed under: uncultured bacterium
Lineage: Bacteria
Description: partial 16S ribosomal RNA
Rfam family: Bacterial small subunit ribosomal RNA
Source: RNAcentral